Molecule: ribosomal RNA, 546 nt
Filed under: uncultured bacterium
Lineage: Bacteria
Description: bacterial SSU rRNA
Rfam family: Bacterial small subunit ribosomal RNA
Source: RNAcentral
GGGGAAUAUUGCGCAAUGGGGGCAACCCUGACGCAGCCAUGCCGCGUGAAUGAAGAAGGCCUUCGGGUUGUAAAGUUCUUUCGGUAUUGAGGAAGGUUGACGUGUUAAUAGUACAUCAAAUUGACGUUAAAUACAGAAGAAGCACCGGCUAACUCCGUGCCAGCAGCCGCGGUAAUACGGAGGGUGCGAGCGUUAAUCGGAAUAACUGGGCGUAAAGGGCACGCAGGCGGUUAUUUAAGUGAGGUGUGAAAGCCCCGGGCUUAACCUGGGAAUUGCAUUUCAGACUGGGUAACUAGAGUACUUUAGGGAGGGGUAGAAUUCCACGUGUAGCGGUGAAAUGCGUAGAGAUGUGGAGGAAUACCGAAGGCGAAGGCAGCCCCUUGGGAAUGUACUGACGCUCAUGUGCGAAAGCGUGGGGAGCAAACAGGAUUAGAUACCCUGGUAGUCCACGCUGUAAACGCUGUCGAUUUGGGGGUUGGGGUUUAACUCUGGCGCCCGUAGCUAACGUGAUAAAUCGACCGCCUGGGGAGUACGGCCGCAAGGUUA